RNAcentral lists this transfer RNA (76 nucleotides) under Brucella sp. 10RB9215. RNAcentral describes it as "tRNA-Arg". It matches the Rfam family "tRNA". From Rfam's summary of the family: Transfer RNA (tRNA) molecules are approximately 80 nucleotides in length. Lineage: Bacteria; Pseudomonadati; Pseudomonadota; Alphaproteobacteria; Hyphomicrobiales; Brucellaceae. The record is from RNAcentral.
GCACCCGUAGCUCAGCUGGAUAGAGCACCAGACUACGAAUCUGGGGGUCAGAGGUUCGAAUCCUUUCGGGUGCGCC